UACGUAGGGUGCAAGCGUUAAUCGGAAUUACUGGGCGUAAAGCGUGCGCAGGCGGCUUCUCAAGUCAGGGGUGAAAGCCCAGAGCUCAACUCUGGAAUUGCCUUUGAGACUGAGUGGCUUGAGUACGAGAGAGGUGAGUGGAAUUCCCAGUGUAGAGGUGAAAUUCGUAGAUAUUGGGAAGAACACCGGUGGCGAAGGCGGCUCACUGGCUCGUAACUGACGCUCAUGCACGACAGCGUGGGGAUCAAACAGG
This 253-nucleotide ribosomal RNA is filed under the name uncultured bacterium. Its description in RNAcentral is "partial 16S ribosomal RNA". It matches the Rfam family "Bacterial small subunit ribosomal RNA", at positions 524 to 776 of the family's 1533-position model. The record is from RNAcentral.